This 228-nucleotide unclassified non-coding RNA is filed under the name Hevea brasiliensis (rubber tree). The record is from RNAcentral. Lineage: Eukaryota; Viridiplantae; Streptophyta; Magnoliopsida; Malpighiales; Euphorbiaceae.
AAUUAACUCUUUUCUUAAACUUUGACUCUGAGAACUCCAAUGGUGAUGUAAGAUUUACAAUAACCUAUAUCUCCCCUUCAGAUGUCCCUGAGCAUAGAAUGCUUUUUGUAAAUGCAUGCAUACUUUUUUCCUGUUGAUUUUGAUCAAGUCACAGAAAUUGAACUUCUUUUUAAUGGUGUCGAUUUAAAUUUCAUUUUUUAACCAGAUUAAGAUUUGGGAAGAUCUCAA